UAAGACCCGUAAGAUACUAACCUACAUCUUCUGAAUGCAACCCAGAUGCUUUAAUUAAGCUAGGGCCUUG
RNAcentral lists this transfer RNA (70 nucleotides) under Eudocimus albus. Its description in RNAcentral is "tRNA-Ala". The record is from RNAcentral. Lineage: Eukaryota; Metazoa; Chordata; Aves; Pelecaniformes; Threskiornithidae.